RNAcentral lists this ribosomal RNA (1704 nucleotides) under Escherichia coli. RNAcentral describes it as "partial 23S ribosomal RNA". It matches the Rfam family "Bacterial large subunit ribosomal RNA", at positions 1259 to 2925 of the family's 2925-position model. Lineage: Bacteria; Pseudomonadati; Pseudomonadota; Gammaproteobacteria; Enterobacterales; Enterobacteriaceae. The record is from RNAcentral.
UACUGUGAGGUAUGCUGGAGGUAUCAGAAGUGCGAAUGCUGACAUAAGUAACGAUAAAGCGGGUGAAAAGCCCGCUCGCCGGAAGACCAAGGGUUCCUGUCCAACGUUAAUCGGGGCAGGGUGAGUCGACCCCUAAGGCGAGGCCGAAAGGCGUAGUCGAUGGGAAACAGGUUAAUAUUCCUGUACUUGGUGUUACUGCGAAGGGGGGACGGAGAAGGCUAUGUUGGCCGGGCGACGGUUGUCCCGGUUUAAGCGUGUAGGCUGGUUUUCCAGGCAAAUCCGGAAAAUCAAGGCUGAGGCGUGAUGACGAGGCACUACGGUGCUGAAGCAACAAAUGCCCUGCUUCCAGGAAAAGCCUCUAAGCAUCAGGUAACAUCAAAUCGUACCCCAAACCGACACAGGUGGUCAGGUAGAGAAUACCAAGGCGCUUGAGAGAACUCGGGUGAAGGAACUAGGCAAAAUGGUGCCGUAACUUCGGGAGAAGGCACGCUGAUAUGUAGGUGAAGUCCCUCGCGGAUGGAGCUGAAAUCAGUCGAAGAUACCAGCUGGCUGCAACUGUUUAUUAAAAACACAGCACUGUGCAAACACGAAAGUGGACGUAUACGGUGUGACGCCUGCCCGGUGCCGGAAGGUUAAUUGAUGGGGUCAGCGCAAGCGAAGCUCUUGAUCGAAGCCCCGGUAAACGGCGGCCGUAACUAUAACGGUCCUAAGGUAGCGAAAUUCCUUGUCGGGUAAGUUCCGACCUGCACGAAUGGCGUAAUGAUGGCCAGGCUGUCUCCACCCGAGACUCAGUGAAAUUGAACUCGCUGUGAAGAUGCAGUGUACCCGCGGCAAGACGGAAAGACCCCGUGAACCUUUACUAUAGCUUGACACUGAACAUUGAGCCUUGAUGUGUAGGAUAGGUGGGAGGCUUUGAAGUGUGGACGCCAGUCUGCAUGGAGCCGACCUUGAAAUACCACCCUUUAAUGUUUGAUGUUCUAACGUGGACCCGUGAUCCGGGUUGCGGACAGUGUCUGGUGGGUAGUUUGACUGGGGCGGUCUCCUCCUAAAGAGUAACGGAGGAGCACGAAGGUUGGCUAAUCCUGGUCGGACAUCAGGAGGUUAGUGCAAUGGCAUAAGCCAGCUUGACUGCGAGCGUGACGGCGCGAGCAGGUGCGAAAGCAGGUCAUAGUGAUCCGGUGGUUCUGAAUGGAAGGGCCAUCGCUCAACGGAUAAAAGGUACUCCGGGGAUAACAGGCUGAUACCGCCCAAGAGUUCAUAUCGACGGCGGUGUUUGGCACCUCGAUGUCGGCUCAUCACAUCCUGGGGCUGAAGUAGGUCCCAAGGGUAUGGCUGUUCGCCAUUUAAAGUGGUACGCGAGCUGGGUUUAGAACGUCGUGAGACAGUUCGGUCCCUAUCUGCCGUGGGCGCUGGAGAACUGAGGGGGGCUGCUCCUAGUACGAGAGGACCGGAGUGGACGCAUCACUGGUGUUCGGGUUGUCAUGCCAAUGGCACUGCCCGGUAGCUAAAUGCGGAAGAGAUAAGUGCUGAAAGCAUCUAAGCACGAAACUUGCCCCGAGAUGAGUUCUCCCUGACCCUUUAAGGGUCCUGAAGGAACGUUGAAGACGACGACGUUGAUAGGCCGGGUGUGUAAGCGCAGCGAUGCGUUGAGCUAACCGGUACUAAUGAACCGUGAGGCUUAACCUUACAACGCCGAAGGUGUUU